RNAcentral lists this long non-coding RNA (1068 nucleotides) under Sus scrofa (pig). RNAcentral's name for it is "lncRNA (ENSSSCG00065020648.1)". The record is from RNAcentral. Lineage: Eukaryota; Metazoa; Chordata; Mammalia; Artiodactyla; Suidae.
GACACAGGCACCGGCUUAGAGACCUCAGUCCCCCGGAGGAGGCUGGUCUGUGGGCAUCUUAGGACAUCCGUGAGAAGGCUCCAGAUGGAAAAUGCUGGAGGGCCCAGGUUUUCAGGAAGGCACCUCCUCACCUUUCAGUCCGGGAGAACGUGUUCCAGCAAAGCCAGGGAGAGAGGCUCGCCGGCCCAGGCCUCUCCAGCUUCUCUUAAAGGCGAAAAGAGAAGCUGAGGACCCCGCACGCUCCCCAGCGCAUGGAGCUGAAGCCACGACCCCAAGGAUCCCAUCCAAGAAACCCUAUUAUGUUCAGUCAUCAGGUCUCCUUGGGCUCCUCUCGGCUGUGAUGGUUUCUCAGACUUGCCUUGUUUUUGAUGACCUGGGCAGUUCUGAGGCGUGCUGGUCAGGUGUUUUGCAGAAUGUUCUUCAGCUGGCAUUUGUUUGCUGAUUUUCCUCAUGAUGAAACGAGGGUCACGGGUUUGGGGGAAGAAAACCACAGGGAUAAGGGGCCAUUCUCGUCACAUAUCAAGGGCACAUACUGUCACCAUGACUUCUCGUUGCUGACGCUGACACUGACCCCCUGGCUGAGGCCGUGUUGGUCACUGUCCAGUUCCUCCUUUGGCCCUUUCCACGCUGUCCUCUUUGGAAGGAAGCACAUACCUCUCUGCACAGCACACACGGAAGGGCUGGGGAGUGAGGCUCCGCUCCCUGGAGGCUGAGUGUCCACCUGAUUCGGGAUUCGUCUGCACAGUUCGUCUGUCCUCCCUCGUUUGUGUCCCUCUCCAGUCACCGCUUUCCAGCGCUAUGGACUCAGGGAUACUUCCUUGAGGCGCUGGGUUAUCAUCCACUACUACUUCAUUCUGUUGCUCAGGCCUUUCCAGAUGUGGCCACUGGAGGCGCUUUCCAUUGGCUCCUGCGUCCCUCUGAUCUAUCUCAUCGCUGUGCUUUUGUGGAGCGCAUCCUUCUGAUACGAAGACGCGCCAGACUCCAGCUGUAUAUUCCCUGUCCUCGUCCUGCAAUCAGUCAUUUCUCCCAGGAGCCCUGGUUUCUCUCAUGACACCACGGUGUUAAAAA